UACGAAGGGGGCUAGCGUUGCUCGGAAUGACUGGGCGUAAAGGGCGCGUAGGCGGAUGGCACAGUCAGAUGUGAAAUUCCCGGGCUUAACCUGGGGGCUGCAUUUGAUACGUGUUGUCUUGAGUUCGGAAGAGGGUCGUGGAAUUCCCAGUGUAGAGGUGAAAUUCGUAGGUAUUGGGAAGAACACCGGUGGCGAAGGCGGCGACCUGGUCCGACACUGACGCUGAGGCGCGAAAGCGUGGGGAGCAAACAGG
Molecule: ribosomal RNA, 253 nt
Filed under: uncultured bacterium
Lineage: Bacteria
Description: partial 16S ribosomal RNA
Rfam family: Bacterial small subunit ribosomal RNA
Source: RNAcentral